Molecule: RNA transcript, 1873 nt
Organism: Andrographis paniculata
Lineage: Eukaryota; Viridiplantae; Streptophyta; Magnoliopsida; Lamiales; Acanthaceae
Gene name: heat shock factor-binding protein-like
Exons: 15
Source: RefSeq, a predicted model, not a curated record
CUCUGCCCCAAUUCCAUUCGAACUUUCUUUUCAUUUCCGUUCACCUACCACGCUCGCAUUUCAAAAUUUCCCAAAUUCACUUCUCAGAAUCGCGAGCUCUAAUUCAAGUUGACGAAUCCUUCGAAACCAAAAUGGAUGGACGAGAUGCAGAUAAUUCUAAACAAAGUACUGAUGAUAUGACUACAUUUGUACAAAACCUACUCCAGCAAAUGCAAACUCGGUUCCAGACAAUGUCGGAGUCCAUCAUAAGUAAAAUUGAUGAGAUGGGCAACCGUAUCGAUGAGUUGGAGCAGAGCAUCAACGACCUUAGAACUGAGAUGGGUCAAGAUGGCGCGGCAUCUCCUUCGCCUACAUCAAAGGCCCGCGAAGAAACAAAGACAGGAUUGCUGGAGACCUUUUUCUCGAAGAACAGCGAUGGUGCCUCAGUGCAAUUUCUCAAUCAUUUAUCCAAGAUAUAUGGUUCACCCGAAUGUGAGAGAACGGGGAAGGAAUUGAAUUUCAAUUGGGAGGAAGAUAGGUUUUUGGAUGUGGGCGUUGAACUGAACUGCAACAAACGAAACGAAGGCACAUCCCAACACCACACCCACAUGGCGGAGAGUCUCUCGCGCUGCCACCCAACCAAACUCGAAUACUUCCACGACAUGUUCAAGCUGCAGGCUUCAGCUGCGGUCCUCUCUUCCUUCGCGAAUGAUCAAGGUACGCAAACGCUCGUGCUCGAUUCCACUAUUUUUCAUCCCCAGGGCGGCGGUCAACCAUCGGACAAGGGUUUCAUCUCAAAUCCACUGUUCACCUUUGUUGUUGAGGAUGUCCGAUCCAAGGAUCAAAUUGUGUAUCACUAUGGCCAUUUCGAGAACACUGAAGAUGUGAGUGCUGUCGUAGGAGCUGAAGUUUUGCUGAGAGUGGAUGAAGAUAGACGUAGGCUAAAUUCAAGGCUGCAUUCUGCAGGGCAUUUGUUGGAUAUCUGUGUGAGAACGGUGGGGUGGGAUCACUUGGAGCCGACUAAAGGUUAUCACUUUCCCGAUGGACCAUUUGUGGAAUACAAAGGUACUGUUCCACCGAAUGAACUGCAAGAGAAGCAAAAGGAGAUUGAAUUAGAAGCAAACCGUUUGAUCUCGGAAGGAGGAAAUGUCUCUGUGUCCAUUUUACCGUACAAUCAAGCUUCGGAACUCUGCGGUGGAUCCCUCCCAGAUUACAUACCCAAGGAGAGCUCUCCUAGGAUCGUUCAAUUGGGCAAGAACCCAGGAUGCCCUUGUGGUGGCACUCAUGUCGGCGAUCUCAGUGAAAUUUCGAGUCUGAAGGUUUCUCAAAUUCGGGCGAAGAAAGGACAUACAAAAGUAUUUUACAAUUGCGCAUAGUUUCUUCAUGCAUUAUCGGAUGUAGGCCUUGUCUAAAUGGCGUCGGGGAAUGUUGGUCUCUAAGGGCAACAUUUAAGAGGAUGAAGGUCGAUGUCGUGCCCUCACGUCAGCGGCUUGGCGGCGCUGCUGAAACAGGCCCACCCUGAGUGGUCACCGGCGGCCGAUCAAGUCAGCAUUGAUGACCACGGCGUACAACGUCGAUAACAACGGGAAUAAUUUAACGGACCUCGUCACCAGGGACGUGUCCAAUCCGUUCUUGGGCCACGUCGAUCCAAACCGAGCAACGAAUCCCGGCCUGAUCUACGACAUCGAUACCCGUCGUUCUUGGUUGCCUUCUCCGGCUUUAAAAGCGUUGUAAAGUAUAAACGAAGCGUAAGAAAUGUCAGGAAGGAGGCGAAUGCCGUGUAUGAGGUGACAGUGCACGCAACGGACAGCGUGGAAGUCACCGUGACACCGAGUAAAUUAGAGUUCGGCGAGAAGGAAGACACUCUAUCUGGGUCUACACAUAUAAGAAUAAA